GAUGGUUCAUUCAAAUUUCUGCCCUAUCAACUUUCGAUGGUAGGAUAGUGGCCUACCAUGGUUUUAACGGGUAACGGGGAAUUAGGGUUCUAUUCCGGAGAGGGAGCCUGAGAAACGGCUACCACAUCCAAGGAAGGCAGCAGGCGCGCAAAUUACCCAAUCCCAACACGGGGAGGUAGUGACAAUAAAUACUGAUACAGGGCUCUUUUGGGUCUUGUAAUUGGAAUGAGUACAAUUUAAAUCCCUUAACGAGGAACAAUUGGAGGGCAAGUCUGGUGCCAGCAGCCGCGGUAAUUCCAGCUCCAAUAGCGUAUAUUAAAGUUGUUGCAGUUAAAAAGCUCGUAGUUGAACCUUGGGCCUGGCUGGCCGGUCCGCCUCACCGCGUGCACUGGUCCGGCCGGGCCUUUCCUUCUGGGGAGCCGCAUGCCCUUCACUGGGUGUGUCGGGGGAACCAGGACUUUUACUUUGAAAAAAUUAGAGUGUUCAAAGCAGGCCUAUGCUCGAAUACAUUAGCAUGGAAUAAUAGAA
This 528-nucleotide ribosomal RNA is filed under the name uncultured fungus. RNAcentral's name for it is "SSU rRNA". It matches the Rfam family "Eukaryotic small subunit ribosomal RNA", at positions 289 to 822 of the family's 1831-position model. The record is from RNAcentral. Lineage: Eukaryota; Fungi.